GUUCAAUAGCUGAGUGGAUAACGCGAUGGCGUUUAAAGCGAAAGGUGCUUGGUUUGAGUCCCAGAGUGAAU
Molecule: transfer RNA, 71 nt
Filed under: Schistosoma mansoni
Lineage: Eukaryota; Metazoa; Platyhelminthes; Trematoda; Strigeidida; Schistosomatidae
Source: RNAcentral